Fukomys damarensis (Damara mole-rat) is the source of this 1157-nucleotide long non-coding RNA. RefSeq lists it as uncharacterized. The transcript is spliced from 3 exons. The record is from RefSeq and is a predicted model, not a curated record. Lineage: Eukaryota; Metazoa; Chordata; Mammalia; Rodentia; Bathyergidae.
AGACCAGCAUGGGCUACACAGCUGCUCUCAAACCCCUGGGAUCAAGCAAUCCUCCUGCUCCAGCCUCCUGAGAAGGUGGCCUUCGGACACAUGCCUGGGUCUCAUCCGCUCGGAAUUGCCUCCAGAGUACUCACAGUACCUGAUACGAUGGUAAUGCUGGCCUCAUAAAUGGGAAAGUGUUUCAUUCUCUUCUAAUGCCUGAAAUAAUUAGUGGAGAUUGGUACUAAUCUUAAUCUUCAACAAAAUUGCUGGGUUUGGUGGCAGAUUCCUGGAAUCCCAACUACUUGGGAGGCUGAGGCAGGAGGAUCACAAGUUUGAAGUCAGCCUAGGCAACUUAGUGAAGCCCAGUAUGUGCAAGGCCGUGUGGGACCUGACGGAGAGUGAAUGGUUAAACUGAAGAAUUAAACCGCAGGACAAAAGGGCACAGGCUCCAUGAGGAGUGACUGGCUGAGAGGUGGGGCGAAAACACAGAAAUAAUUAAAAUGGGAGGCAAAAAGUGCAUAGGUUCGGUGAGGAGUAAACAAUUACGCUGAAAGGUACAGGCUCCGCGAGGAGUGGACAGUGGAACUGCGGUGCACAAGCGCACAGGCUGUGUGAAAAUCAAAUGGUGGAACAACAAGAAGUUUAGAUUCGUUGCGUGCGUUGCGCCUGGCCCUCGUCCUCCGCUUUCCACAAGAAAACUGCUGAGCUUUCAAACAGCUGCUCACCCAAACCGCUUUUUUUUCUUACCCCGAGCUUCUGAACAGGAGCCAGAGAGUUCUUGACUUGGUGGCUGCUCCUCCUCCCAGAGUCUCCCUGGUGGCUGGGUGCUCUCGGUGGAUUAAAUGAAGUCUCAUUUUUCAUCCUCUACGCCGCCGACGGCAGCUCGCUACAACCCAAGGCCCGAGCGUGAUCCCUAGCGCAGCAAAAGAAAAAGUUAAAAAAAAAAAAAAGUUUUAUAAAGUUAAUGAAACUGUCUGGGCUUGGAGUUUUCUUUAUAGAAUACUUUUAAUGAACACUAGAGCUAAUCCUAUUUUCUGCUUAUUUUUAUGUGCAUUAAGGAAUCUGCCCAUUUAAUCUCAGUUGUCAAAACUAUUGAAUUUGUGCAUAAUGUCAUUUAUUUCCUUUUAUGUGCUCACAUGAUGCUGAGCUAGAACCCAGGGCCUCACACAUUCUAG